GUUAAAUUGAACUUUCUGCUACUUAAUUCUGUCAUUUGUUUGUUAUUAACAAAAUUAUUUGCAUUUAUGAUCUUAAUUAUAUUUAUAUAAAUUGGAACCUAUAGGCAUUUGGAAGCAAAGAAAAUUUGAUAUCUUCCGUUUGAUUUGUUGAUGUUCCAAUUAACUACUUCUUGUAGUAUUUCUCUUGCAUUGUAAAAUCAUUUUAGGAUUCAUUGAAAUGUUUUCUUACCAGGUCAGUU
This 239-nucleotide unclassified non-coding RNA is filed under the name Hevea brasiliensis (rubber tree). Lineage: Eukaryota; Viridiplantae; Streptophyta; Magnoliopsida; Malpighiales; Euphorbiaceae. The record is from RNAcentral.